This 460-nucleotide ribosomal RNA is filed under the name uncultured bacterium. RNAcentral describes it as "partial 16S ribosomal RNA". It matches the Rfam family "Bacterial small subunit ribosomal RNA", at positions 338 to 795 of the family's 1533-position model. The record is from RNAcentral.
CCUACGGGUGGCUGCAGUGAGGAAUAUUGGUCAAUGGACGAGAGUCUGAACCAGCCAAGUAGCGUGAAGGAUGACUGCCCUAUGGGUUGUAAACUUCUUUUAUAUAGGAAUAAAAUGAUGCACGUGUGCCUUUUUGUAUGUACUUUAUGAAUAAGGAUCGGCUAACUCCGUGCCAGCAGCCGCGGUAAUACGGAGGAUCCGAGCGUUAUCCGGAUUUAUUGGGUUUAAAGGGAGCGUAGAUGGGUUGUUAAGUCAGUUGUGAAAGUUUGCGGCUCAACCGUAAAAUUGCAAUUGAUACUGGCAGUCUUGAGUACAGUAGAGGUAGGCGGAAUUCGUGGUGUAGCGGUGAAAUGCUUAGAUAUCACGAAGAACCCCGAUUGCGAAGGCAGCUUACUAAACUGUGACUGACAUUGAUGCUCGAAAGUGUGGGUAUCAAACAGGAUUAGAUACCCGAGUAGUC